GGAGGGGAUGUGAGGUCAGGGGACCUGCCUGUUACCAGCUGUAAGAUCUUGAUGAACCAGAGGUGAUAACAGAGGCCCUUCCUGGAACUGCUGUGAGGAGUAAAUGAGAUAAGAACGUGGAAGUGAAGCACAGGUGUCAGUUAUUAAUGAGAGUCUGUUAACCUAAUAGACACCACUGACUGAGCUCUUACAACUGCACGGGACGAGGGCUUCACUUCACUAGCCUGGCCUCCUUUAAUCCAAUAAUCGCACAAAGAGGGCCCUGUAAGUAUCUCUAUUUAUCAAAUGAAGAAACUGAAGGCCAGAGAAGUCAUGGAACCUACCCCAGGUCACACAGCUGGUCAGUGGCACAAUGUGGAUUUGAACACGGGCUCUUGGUCACUCUGCGGUGCUUUCCUCUAUGCAGCAGUCUCUGUGUUAGCCACAGAGAUGUGAAAGUGGCGAUCUUGUGGGGUCGAGACUGCAGAGCGCACAGCUUGGCUGUAACACACACCCACAAAGAGGUUAAAGCUGAGCCAUCAUUAGAAGCAGCACCCAGCUCGGGUUCCUGCUUCAGCUUGGGAAAUAGAGAUUAGCAUAUAAAUAGCCUUCGGUGCCUGCUUGAUUCCAGCUAUUUUGCGUUUCAAUGUGGCAUCAGAAUGCACUUAGCAAGAAAUGUUCGAGAGGAGAAAGAGGUUUGUAAUAUGUCGCUUUUAUAGAGGGGGGAACUUUAAGUAUAAAAGAUCAUCCACUCCUUGUGGGCUUUUUUUUUUUUUUUGUAUCCUUUCAAUGCCCCAAUUACAGACUCCAAGGAGCCAACAGACCCCCUAGAACGGAGCCUUAGUUUACGAGGCAGCUCUUUCUUCGGACCGGGAAAAUAAGUCAAAAUGGUGCACAGGAAGUAAGAUAAAUACGCGGGCUUCCUCCCGGAUCCGGCUGGAGCCCUGGGGGGCACAGUCGUGCCCUGCUCCUCCCCCCCACGCCACCCAUCAGCAGAGGGACGUUGGACAGCUCCUCCAGGACCCGUCUGCUGGAGCAGUGAGAGCGAGUGCUGGCUUUCUGCCUGGAGGGCGAGUUCCCUCCUGGGAAAUUGCAGGGACUGGGCGCCGAGCCCGGGGUUCUUUCUGCCCUCUUCAUUCCACCCCCACCCCUCCACGCACGCAUGCCCGCGUUCCGGCUGCCUCUGGGUCAGGCUGAGUCUUGGGCUGCAGCAAGAAGAUUCUUAAAGCCCACACUUUCUCUCCUUUGGCACAAGGCAGUUGGACAGCUCUGAGAUGAAUGGGGCUGCACAGCUGUCGGGGGUGACACAGUUUUCCCUGGAUGUGGCCGUAGCAGAGGAGCUCAGGUCAAGCAGGUGGUGGCCCCUAGUCCAGCUCCUGGGGUGGCUUGGACCAACCCCGAGCCCUGGGUUCUAGUCCCGGCUGCCCUGUGAACUUGUGAUGGACGCAUCAGACAAGCUCUAAGCCUGAGUUCCUUCAUCUGUGAAAAGGAGAAGUACAAACGCUGCCCUGUCCGCUCGCGGGGCUAACAUAGGCAACAAAUGAGAAAAUGGACGUGACAGAACUUGGUAAGCUCCCUCCCCUGUUAGCAUUGUGUUAUUAGGCUGUUGGUAAGGUUUUGUCCUGGAUAGUCUGUCCUUUUGUCCAUCCACCCUAGCAACUCACCCAUGCUCCCAGGGCUCUGCCCAACCCGCUGACCUGAAGUAAGAGGGGUAAGGAGUAAAUAUUUUUUCAGGAAACCAGUUAGGAAAUGACAGCCCCCUCAGCUCUCAGCCCAAAGGCACCCGUUUGGGUUGUGUGAAGACAGGGCUGGGGCUUGCGUUGCAGAUAGACCUGGGCAUCAAGUUCCUGCCUCACCACUGGUAGCACCUGAGGCAUGUCGUCUGCUCCCUGAGUCUUAUCUUCACCGAUAAUGCGAGCCGCCUUCCAGGGAUGUUUUGAGACUCAAAGUGGAAACCUGAUGGAAAGUCCUUCAGGAACUGUAAAGUGUGGGGCAAUUGUUUACUUCUUGUCCUUCUGGCCUGCACACAGAGUAAGCACUGUGCCCUGGAGCCCCACAGCAAGAUGGCUGGGCUAGGGUACCGGCAGCUUGUUCCAUCCCGCCUCAUCCCAGCAUCACGCCCCCAAACCUAGAAGCCCUCACAGCGGGACAGUGUCCUGGUGAGCCCAAGGCACUCCUUGGUGUAUGUGACAUUGCCCAGGCUGAGCAGCGGCCCUCUCAGCCUCCACCAUGGCCCACAGACCCUAAGGGCACUGGCUCUCUGGGAAGGUCACCUUUACUUCCACGACAAUCCUUGUAAGCGGAGGAUUCUAACCCGGCUACAAUGGGAGCCCCUCACCUGGGCUCCUCAAUGGGAAAGUUACCAACGUGCAAAAUCUUUCUUUCUUUCUCCCCCCGUGCUGCAGCUUCAAAUACUCACUGCUCAAAGAAGAAUCAUGCUGAUUCUGGACUUCACGCAUGAAGCCUAGGUUUUCAUCCCAAAACGCUAUGUUGGAACAAAGGUGACUCCUUAUGAGGAGACCUGAAGGGUGACUCAAUGUGCUGGCACAGUGGGGUGGAGACCGCAGUGGGCUCUGGCAAGAGUUCUGGGUCCUGGUCCACUCUCUGCUGCUGACCUUGGAUGAUUUCUUUCCACUGUGUGACCCACUCUAUAAGGUGAGGUCCCUGCAUCAGACAACCUCCAGGGGCCCUUGAUGCUCAAAUUUCCAUUCCUUCCUAUAUUACUGUUCUCCUGGGUUUCCUCUGGCCAGAGUGCUCUUCUCUCUAGCUGAGAUACUCAACAGCAUCUGUCUUGCCAACCCAGGCAACUAUAGUAUCAGCUUCCAUUUAGAGCAUCUUCUAUUAUCCCCAGUUGAUACAUUAGAAAAUCAAGGCUCAGAGGAGUUGACUGGCUGACCCAUAGUCACACAGCUGUGAGAGAGGAACCAAGCUUCAACCUCAAGCGUCGACUCAGCUUCAGAGCCUGUGUUCUUAAUUAUCACACACUGUGGCAUUUUCCUGUGUCACUGCCUAGUUACUGUUUAUAAAAAUCACACAGCUAUAAGUGAGGAACCAAAAUUCAACCUCAGGCUUCAACUCAACUUCAGGGGCACGUUCUUAAUUAUCACACACUGUGGCGUUUUCCUGCAUCAUUGCCUGGUUAUUGUUUACAAUCAACGUGACUGUAAGACAGUCUAUGUCUCUCAUGCCUCAAAUUAUUUACCAAGACUUGACACAAAGAACACUGAUUCUACUGAAUGUUAAUCCUCGAAAAAAUAGUUUUCAUGAUCAAGUGAGUUUGACAUUGAGUAAAACAAGUAAACAGUUUCUCUUUAACUGCAAGACUUCUCAGAGCCUUUAAGAUGUGAGUAAGGUGCAUUUUAAAUCUACUAGAGGGGAUAGAGUAUACAAUUUUCCCCAAAGCUCUUUGUCCAUAGACCUCCUCCCUUUUUUUUUUUCCCCUUUGAGAAACUUGUGUUCCACUAAAAGACUAGGGUUCUACAAUUUCGCUACUCAAGCAUGAGACUGUCCCCAGACAGGCAACAUCAGGUGUCACCUGGAGCUAGUUAAAAAUACAGAAUCUCAGACCCUGCCUAGACCUGCCAAACCAGAGUCUGCAUUUUAAUAAGAGGCCCAGGUGGUUCGCGUGCCCAGUAAAGUUUGAAAAGCCCUGGUCCACGCUACACGUUUAGGGAAACAUGGCUUGAUGCAAGAGCAAUCAAGCCAUAAAAUCCAGUGGUGAAAAAAGUAUCAAGCACUAUUUGGCAUCACGUGGACCAAAUGACUAGAUUUGGAAUUAAGUCGAGGUGCUGUAACAUCACACAGAAUCCAAGAGAAUUCCCACAAUGUAAUGUUUCUCCCCAUUCCUAAUGGGAUGUCAAAAUUGAUAGAGAUGGAAGGAUGAUCAAUACCCUUUGCUAAAGGCAUUCCUAGAAUUCGGACAUGGAAAGCAUUGCAUUCCUCUUCCUAAAGUAUGAAGAUUUUUUAAAAAUUUCAGCUUUAUUGAGGUAUAAUUGACAUAUAAAAUUGUAAGAUAUUUAAAGUGUACAUUGUGGUGAUUUGAUAUACAUAUGCAUUGUGAAAGGAUUCCCCCCCUAGCGUUAGUUGACACCUCUAUCACUUCACAUAUUUAUCUUUUCUUUUUUACGGGAACAUUUAAGUUCUACUCUCAGUAUAUUUCAAUUAUACAAUUAUCAACUAUAGUCGCUAGGUCUUACAUUAGAUCCUCAGACCUUGUUCAUCUUAUAGCUGAAAGUUUGUACCCUUUGACAAACCUCUGCCUAUUUCCUCCACCCCCAGCCCCUGGCAACCACUUUUCUCUCUCAAUCAUAGAAGUAGGCGAGGUUAUGGGCAUCCCUGGGUUAUCACCUGGGAUAUUCUUGGGAAAUGACCCAUUGGUCCCUAAGCCUGGCAUCUCAGCAGACAGCCUCAAGGUUACAAAAGCUUGUCUCAAGGUUUUAAAAAUCACAGCUGAAAUGACCCAUUCAUGCAAGAUAAGACCUAUGCCUGCAGAAAACUGCCUUUGCUUUUGGCUGCAAUUAUUUCAAUUCAUGUGGUCACACUCUCUCAGGCUGACCUGACAUUUCAAGCUGUAGUUUGAUAUAUCUUUGCUCAACACAAGAUAGGGAAGCAAAUUAGACUUAACUUAAUUACUUCAAUGUUUUGGGGAGACAAAAAGUUUUCUAAGUCUGUGAGCAGAGAGGUUCACUAAGCGGCCCAAAGACACAGAGCUUGUAAGUGAUGACAGAUCUGUUGACUCCCAAGUCAGGACUCUUUCCAGUGCAGAGGCAACCCAAGGACACAUGUGUGUUUUGUCACACUCUUCACAUUUGGCUCCUAAGGAGUUUACCCUUCCCUAAACCCUUCCUUUUAUAAUACAAAGCACCCCUGUCUCCCUCCGCACGUCCCCCCGCUCUACUCUGCCUUUGGGUUUAGAACCUCUCAUUCAUCUUUAUUGAAUUCCUUUCUUUAGGUGCUGCCCAAUGUACCACCUCGCUAAGAUUUUUUUUCCCAUUCUAAAUUGUCAUGCAAAUCAUCUUCUAGUGCUCUCCACAGCUAGGAUGACUCUACCUACCUCCCUUGUCACUGGAGGAAAGGCCUUGUCAAGGAUGGAGCUCCACAGCCCCCUCUGAGAAAGAUUAGAACAAGACCACGUGCUCUGCGGAAUGAACCCCCAACUCCUGAAACACCGAAGGCUCCACCUAGACACACACACAGAACCCUGCAAAGGUGGCCGGCCAGCAUGUAUUCCCCAUCUUGCCAACGAGGAAUCUGAGGCUGCGAGAGAGUGACUGGCCAAACUGAUGCUGAGGGUAGAGACAAGCUCUUUCCGCUACUCAGAACUACCUGCCUGUGGUCUGAUGCUGUGAAAUAUUGACAACGCCUGUCUCUCAUUUGAGCAGAGUUAUUGGAAGAGAAUCAGCUAUCACGAUGGCUAGAUACUAUACUUCAUAAACUUACUGAUCUGCCCAUCAUUUGUCUUAUUUGGUUGUUGUUGUUAAUACUUUUCGCUCCUGGAGAAAAUAUUCAGCUAGUGAGCUCAUCUGUUCUGCCAUUCAAUGUAUUAAAUUAACACCUCAACGCACGGUCUAAAACUUAGAGGUGAAAAAUUGGGUCCUUGCAGCCAAGACCAAAUAUCAUUUAUCUUAAGCUUGCAUAUUAGGGAGACUGUUUAAAAACGUGACUUUGAAAUUCCUUGGAAACAAAGGUGUUUCCUGCACUGUUUGGAGGACCGUCUUAGUUCAUUCGGGCUGCCAUAACAAAACACUACAGACUGAGUGGCUUAUAAACAACAGAAAUUUACUUUCUCGCCGUUCUAGAGGAUGGAAGUGCAAGAUCAAGGCACCAG
Equus caballus (horse) is the source of this 5806-nucleotide long non-coding RNA. Lineage: Eukaryota; Metazoa; Chordata; Mammalia; Perissodactyla; Equidae. The record is from Ensembl.